UCUCCGUAGGUGAACCUGCGGAGGGAUCAUUACUGAGUCAGGGCCUCUGGCCCCACCUCCAACCCUUUGCUGUCCGACUCUGUUGCCUCGGCGGCGACCCGGCCUUCCCGCCGGGGGCCCCCCGUGGUCCUCUCAACUCAGCAUCUUUGCGUCUGAGUAAACAUUAAGUGAAACAAAACUUUCAACAACGGAUCUCUUGGUUCUG
RNAcentral lists this unclassified non-coding RNA (205 nucleotides) under plant metagenome. Its description in RNAcentral is "partial contains small subunit ribosomal RNA, internal transcribed spacer 1, and 5.8S ribosomal RNA". The record is from RNAcentral.